Small nucleolar RNA from Ruditapes philippinarum (Manila clam), 205 nucleotides. RefSeq annotates it as small nucleolar RNA U3. The record is from RefSeq and is a predicted model, not a curated record. NCBI's taxonomy places the organism in Eukaryota, Metazoa, Mollusca, Bivalvia, Venerida, Veneridae. The transcript has a single exon.
AAGACCUUACUCUUAGGGAUCAUUUCUAUAGUAAGUGUCGCCAGGACGUCAGGUUAAACUGACGAGACCCAAAACCACGAGGACGAGAGAUAGCGCGAAGCGGGCACGAGCUGUUACCUUCAUGGUAACUUGGCGAGUGUCGUUGAUGAAAGUUCCUCUCCUCCCUAAGUGGGUAGUUCGAGGAAAAUGGUGCAUUCUGAGUGGC